AACAGGUUUUGAUCCGCAGAUUUCCGAAUGGGGAAACCCAACUGGUUAAUCCAGUUAUUGCAUAUUAGGUUAAUAUGCAAGGCAAACUUGGUGAACUGAAAUAUCUAAGUAACCAAAGGAAAAGAAAUCAACCGAGAUUCUGUGAGUAGUGACGAGCGAAAGCGGAAAAGGCUAGUGGUUUAAGAAUAAGAAUUAGAAUACUCUGGAAAUAGUAACCAUAGAAGGUGAUAGUCCUGUAUAAGUAGAAAGUUUUUAAAUCCUUGAGUAGAGCGGGGCACGUGAAACCCUGUUUGAAUGUGGGGGGACCAUCCUCCAAGCCUAAAUACUCCUUAACGACCGAUAGUGAACAAGUACCGUGAGGGAAAGGUGAAAAGAACCCCGGGAGGGGAGUGAAAUAGAACCUGAAAUCGAGUGCUUACAAACAGUUGGAGCUCUAAUAUCAAUUCAUUGAUGUUUAGAGUGACAGCGUACCUUUUGCAUAAUGGGUCAGCGAGUUAAUCUAUAAAGCAAGCUUAAGCCGUUAGGUGUAGGCGUAGCGAAAGCGAGUCUUAAUAGGGCGUUUUAGUUUUAUGGAUUAGACCCGAAACCAGGUGAUCUAGUCAUGACCAGAUUGAAGGUGUGGUAAAACACAC
RNAcentral lists this ribosomal RNA (632 nucleotides) under Candidatus Wolbachia massiliensis. Its description in RNAcentral is "bacterial LSU rRNA". It matches the Rfam family "Bacterial large subunit ribosomal RNA", at positions 91 to 766 of the family's 2925-position model. The record is from RNAcentral. Lineage: Bacteria; Pseudomonadati; Pseudomonadota; Alphaproteobacteria; Rickettsiales; Anaplasmataceae.